GAUGAACGCUAGCGGGAGGCCUAAUACAUGCAAGUCGAACGGUAACAGGUAGCAAUACGCUGACGAGUGGCGCACGGGUGAGUAACACGUACACAACCUGCCUAUGACUGGGGCAUAACUUCGGGAAACUGAAGCUAAUUCCCAUAACACUGCAGAAAGGCAUCUUUCAGCAGUUAAAGCCCCGGCGGUCAUAGAUGGGUGUGCGUUUGAUUAGCUAGUUGGUAAGGUAACGGCUUACCAAGGCUACGAUCAAUAACUGGUCUGAGAGGAUGAUCAGUCACACGGGCACUGAGACACGGGCCCGACUCCUACGGGAGGCAGCAGUAGGGAAUAUUGGACAAUGGAGGCAACUCUGAUCCAGCCAUCCCGCGUGAAAGGAUUAAGGCCCUAUGGGUUGUAAACUUCUUUUCUCUGGGAAUAAAAACCGGGAUUUAUCCUGGCUUGAAGGUACCAGAGGAAUAAGCAACCGGGCUAACUCCGUGCCAGCAGCCGCGUAAU
This 498-nucleotide ribosomal RNA is filed under the name uncultured bacterium. RNAcentral's name for it is "bacterial SSU rRNA". It matches the Rfam family "Bacterial small subunit ribosomal RNA", at positions 28 to 524 of the family's 1533-position model. The record is from RNAcentral.